Molecule: ribosomal RNA, 226 nt
Filed under: uncultured bacterium
Lineage: Bacteria
Description: partial 16S ribosomal RNA
Rfam family: Bacterial small subunit ribosomal RNA
Source: RNAcentral
GCGUUGUCCGGAUUUAUUGGGUUUAAAGGGUGCGUAGGCGGCUUUGUAAGUCCGGGGUGAAAGCCCGUUGCUCAACAACGGAACUGCCUUGGAAACUGCGGGGCUUGAGUCCAGACGAGGUCGGCGGAAUGGGCGGUGUAGCGGUGAAAUGCAUAGAUACCGUCCAGAACCCCGAUUGCGAAGGCAGCUGACUAGGCUGGUACUGACGCUGAGGCACGAAAGCGUG